CACGGUAAGGAUUGACGGACUGAAGGCUCUUUCUCGAUUCCGUGGAAAGUGGUGCAUGGCCGUUUUUUGGUUGGUGGAUCGAUCCGUCUGGUUAAUUCCGUUAACGAACGAGACCUCGGCACUCCGAAUAGCGCGGCGGACGUCGCGGCCUCCGGGCCGUCUUCCGCACGAGCUUCUUAGAGGGACCGUCCCCCGCCGGGGAAGGAGGUGCGAGGCAACGACAGGUCUGUGAUGCCCUUAGAUGUUCUGGGCCGCACGCGCAUUACACUGACGCGUCCAACGGGUGACUCCCGACCCGAAGGGGCCGGGGAAUCCGCAAGGCGCGUCGUGAUGGGGAUUGAACGUUGCAAUUGUUGUUCACGAACGAGGAAUUCCUAGUAGGCGCGGGUCAUCAACCCGCGCCGAUUACGUCCCUGCCCUUUGUACACAC
Molecule: ribosomal RNA, 430 nt
Filed under: uncultured eukaryote
Lineage: Eukaryota
Description: bacterial SSU rRNA
Rfam family: Eukaryotic small subunit ribosomal RNA
Source: RNAcentral